AUGGCUCCAGUGCGCUCAUGUCCAAUAUGCUAUAAGGUUGUGGUUGGCUUUAGUCAGCACCUUAGGUAUGUACACCAUGUGAGGAACAGUGAGGAGAGGGUACUCCUCUGUAAGUGGCAGUCAGGCCGUGUCAAUGUCAGGCAGGAGCAGUGUCCAGUGUCAGGAUGCUCCACACAUCUUAGCAGACUGGACCGGCAUAUAGACUCCCACUCAGAGCUCAACAGAGCACAGAGGAGACAGGUUUUAGAGGACCUUAGGAGACGGCUGACGAUGGAGAGGCUGGCGGUGUUGAGGGCAUCGACCCCUGACAUCCCUAUGGCGACAGAUUUAGACAUUGUGGAGACUGUAAGGAGAGAAGAGGAGGAGGAGGAAAUGUUAUGUUCACCUACAGAAGCAGAGGAGGAAGUGGACUGCAAAGAGGAUUCCUGCCACUGCCAUGCACCAAUCCUGAGACUGAAAAAAGCUGUAAAAGAGAGGGAUGAGGCACUGCAUACAAGAAGUGAGACCAACAAAUCCAUUAAAGAGGACAACCUUAAGUUGAUCUCUGAUCUGCAAAGGUUGAGAAAGAAGUACCAGCUGCUGAAAAGGCAGAUGGGGAUUGGCAUGGUGAAGGCCCUCAACUUUCAGGCAGAGUCAGACACAGACACAAAUCAAGAGGAGCAGGACCAAGCUAGAGGUUCAGGGGACCAGAGAGAGGAGCCUACAGUGUCCGGGUCAAGCUGCAAACUCAUCUUCCCGGGCUCUGCUAUGAGUGUGUUUAUCGAGGGAUUCAGGAAGACCUGUGAGGGCCCUAAUCCAAAUUAUAAGCUGAGUGAAAAUUGUGCCUCAAAGGUCAAGAGGGUGACGCAAUUUUUAAACUACAUGGCGAAGAAUGAGACCUACCAGUCCUCUCUCAUUUUCCUGACAGACCAUGACAAAAUAAGGAAGUAAGCAGAAUAAUUUUUUCUCUCUAGCCUCACAAGCAUUAACCAACAAUACAGUAUUUGAUUGUAUGAUUUGUGUGUGUGUGUGUGUGUGUGUGUGUGUGUGUGUUUUUAGAUGGGUUCAAUUCCUCCAGAAGAACAAGGCAAUCACCACAGUCAACCACUACACCUUGACUAUUGGUGCAUUUCUUAAAUAUUCUGAGGAGACCCCUCCAUCUGGCUGCCGGCUGACCGUGAACCAAUGGAGGGGGAUCAACCGGUUGAUGAAGGGCAUUAGCAAGUCCAUGAGACGACCAGUUUCCCUUCACCAGAUAAAGGUGAAGGACAACAAGGAAGGCAAGGUGGUGUCCAAAAAGAGCCUGCUGCAGUGCCAGUCUCUUGCCAAGGCCAAAAUCCCUCAAGUGCUGAGUAAGUUUUUCUCAAUCUGUGAUGUCACUGUUUUUACACACUUAUAGACGUCAGAGAUGUAUAGAAUGCAUUAUGGAGUGGGAUUAUGAAGCUGCCUUUUUUUAUUUUCAUGUUCACAGAAACAUUGGAAGAAACAAGGACACAGAGGAAUCAGUACAGGUUUUAUGGGUACCUGUGUGCCUACUUUACAUCCAUAUACGGCCACAGACCAGGCCUAUAUAAAAACAUGUUGGUGAAAGAGGUGGAGGAGGCAAAAUGUGACCAGUCUGGGGUGUACCUGAUCAAUGUAAGUCUAUGAAAUACAGCUGGCUGUGUUUAUUUGUUUGUUUGCUUGGUUGGUUAUCUUUGGAAACAAUUGCAGUCGCAGGAGCGUAAUGUGUUUUUUUGUGUUUUUUCUCUGUUCAAUUUCUAUUAGGUGGGGGAACACAAAACAAAUCGGGAGUACGGCAUGGUCCAGAUGUCGCUGACAAAGGAGGAGUACAGCUGGUUUUCCGACUUCCUCAAAUUCAAGCACUGUCUCUUAGGGGGAAAGAAGGCCCAGCACUUCUUUUUCAAUUCAACAAACACUCAGAUGAAGAACCUGCUUGCCUACCUGAGGGAGGUGUGGAAGGAGAUGGGUCUGCCCGAAUGUCCUUCAUUCACUGACCUGAGGACCUCCAUUGUCACUCAUGUAGGUCAGAUUAGAUAGGAAUCUAAUUAAUGUAAGAUCCUAUUCUAUUGUUGUCUGAAGUAAUAUCAAUAAUAUCAUAUAUUUGUGUGUGUGUGUGUGUGUGUGUCUUACAGGUAAAAAACAUGCUCCCAAAGGUUGACAGGGAAAGGGUGGCCAACUUCAUGUGCCACAACAUCCAGACGGCAGACAAAUAUUAUGCCAUGAAUUUAAAUCCAACCCAAGCAAAUGAAACCAGGGCACUCUUUGAGGCUGCACUGAAGGGGGAAGAUAACACAGUCGCCGCAGAGAACCAGCCCUCCACCUCAGGAGAAAGAAAGCAGAAGGUGAGAGAGGAUGCCUCCCUCUCCGACGGGAGCACCACCCCUGAAGAGACCAAGGUGAUGUACCAGGAGUCUGGCACGUCCGCCGGUGACUCGGAAGAGGAGGAAGAGGAUGAAGAUGAGGAACAGAUGGCCAGACAACUUCCAGUAAGAUCAGCUAUUCUGACAGGACACAUUUGAUUAUCAAAAUGUACUUGUAAACUAUGUAACAGUCAAGUGUGAAUUCUGAGAUGUAUCUAAUUUCUUGUGUUUGCUCUGUCAGGAGACACCUUCCAAGGUGACCAAUCCUCAGGUGGAGAUGGAACUUACCCCAAAGAGGAAGCGGAGCAUCUGCACACGCCGCAUGGAGGUCGCCAUCAGCCCCAUGCUAGUCUCACCCCUCAAAGUGAGGCUCAAGUCGCCCCCCCACCAGUCCCUCAUUGUCACAUUAAAAGGGAUGCAACAACUAAACUCAAAUAAAGUCAGACUAAAAAAUGCCAUUGCCUCAAGGAGGUUAAAGCUGCAGGAGAAGGUGCAAAAGAGAGGAGGGGACCCCUGAUGCAGCUCGAAGGAAGGGGAGCCGACCAACAACAAGACUUCCUCUUCCAAAUAGUCAUGUAGAUUGUUUUAGACUCUCACAUUUAUACUGUUCUGAUUUUGUUUGGUUUGAUUUUCAAUUUUGGUGUGCUUGUUUACAUUUUAGAAGUGUAAAAUGUGUGUAAUUUAGUCUAACUGUCUGUUCAAUUUUCUAUUUUGGUGUGAUUCUUUAUAAUGUAAAGGUUUGUUCUGUUUUAUUAAAUAACUAGUUUAGUAAUUAUUUGUGUUGUGCUUUCUUUAAGGUUAUAUUCUAACUGUCUGUUCAAUUUUCUAUAUUCUACAAUUUUCUAUAUUCUAUAAACAUUCACUGUCUUGUGUUGUUGUCUGUGAAGGUAGGAACAAAUAUUUAGGCAUUAUUGGCAUGGGAAUCAUAUGUUUACAUUGGCAAAGCAAAUUAAGUAGAUAAUAAACAAAAGUGAAAUAAA
Molecule: long non-coding RNA, 3322 nt
Organism: Oncorhynchus mykiss (rainbow trout)
Lineage: Eukaryota; Metazoa; Chordata; Actinopteri; Salmoniformes; Salmonidae
Source: Ensembl